This 427-nucleotide ribosomal RNA is filed under the name uncultured bacterium. Its description in RNAcentral is "partial 16S ribosomal RNA". It matches the Rfam family "Bacterial small subunit ribosomal RNA", at positions 355 to 774 of the family's 1533-position model. The record is from RNAcentral.
UGGGGAAUAUUGCACAAUGGGCGCAAGCCUGAUGCAGCCAUGCCGCGUGUAUGAAGAAGGCCUUCGGGUUGUAAAGUACUUUCAGCGGGGAGGAAGGUGUUGAGGUUAAUAACCUCAGCAAUUGACGUUACCCGCAGAAGAAGCACAGGCUAACUCCGUGCCAGCAGCCGCGGUAAUACGGAGGGUGCAAGCGUUAAUCGGAAUUACUGGGCGUAAAGCGCACGCAGGCGGUCUGUCAAGUCGGAUGUGAAAUCCCCGGGCUCAACCUGGGAACUGCAUUCGAAACUGGCAGGCUAGAGUCUUGUAGAGGGGGGUAGAAUUCCAGGUGUAGCGGUGAAAUGCGUAGAGAUCUGGAGGAAUACCGGUGGCGAAGGCGGCCCCCUGGACAAAGACUGACGCUCAGGUGCGAAAGCGUGGGGAGCAAACA